RNAcentral lists this ribosomal RNA (254 nucleotides) under uncultured bacterium. RNAcentral's name for it is "partial 16S ribosomal RNA". It matches the Rfam family "Bacterial small subunit ribosomal RNA", at positions 524 to 776 of the family's 1533-position model. The record is from RNAcentral.
UACGGGGGGAGCAAGCGUUGUCCGGAUUUACUGGGCGUAAAGGGCGCGUAGGCGGCCACCGCAAGUCGACUGUGAAAUCUCCGGGCUUAACCCGGAAAGGUCAGCCGAUACUGCGGGGCUAGAGUGCAGAAGGGGCAACUGGAAUUCUCGGUGUAGCGGUGAAAUGCGUAGAUAUCGAGAGGAACACCUGCGGCGAAGGCGGGUUGCUGGGCUGACACUGACGCUGAUGCGCGAAAGCUAGGGGAGCGAACGGG